Long non-coding RNA from Papaver somniferum (opium poppy), 479 nucleotides. RefSeq lists it as uncharacterized. The record is from RefSeq and is a predicted model, not a curated record. The transcript is spliced from 2 exons. Lineage: Eukaryota; Viridiplantae; Streptophyta; Magnoliopsida; Ranunculales; Papaveraceae.
CCUUCUUCCUCUAAAUCAUUUUUCUUCUUUUUCUUGAACAACCUGUGAUAUGAAAAUCCAAGGAAAACUGAACUGAGAUUAUGCUCGAGAGAGAGCUCUUGUGAUAUAUGGAUUGCGUUGAGUUACUGAUGCUAUUAAUGGUCCCUGUUUUGUAAGACAUUGCGGAGAAAUUCUUCUUCCUAUUUUUCGAUGUGGAAAAUGAUAAGAUGAUUUGGUAAAGUUUCGAAAACAAAUGAAUAGAGAAGGAAGUAGGAUUGUCCGUUUGCAAUCAUACUCGAAGAAAGCGUUGAAUACGGACAGACGGACACGCAGAAAUGAACUUGUUAAAGUGAAUGGAAAGGACUUUUCUUCUUUUGGUAUGUUUGACCCUUCUAGUGCAUUUCGAUGUUUUUAGUUGCCAUUGUUCUCUUCACUGUGAACUCUAUUAACCAUCUUGAAACUGUUAUGUUAAUGUUUCCUUAAGGAGCCUAGUUUUGGUA